This 327-nucleotide ribosomal RNA is filed under the name uncultured bacterium. Its description in RNAcentral is "bacterial SSU rRNA". It matches the Rfam family "Bacterial small subunit ribosomal RNA", at positions 212 to 556 of the family's 1533-position model. The record is from RNAcentral.
UUAUUGCCUGGGGAGGAGCUUGCGGCAGAUUAGCUUGUUGGUAAGGUAACGGCUUACCAAGGCUACGAUCUGUAUCCGGUCUAAGAGGACGGUCGGACACACUGACACUGAAUAACGGGUCAGACUCCUACGGGAGGCAGCAGUCGGGAAUUUUGGGCAAUGGGGGAAACCCUGACCCAGCAACGCCGCGUGAAGGAUGAAGUAUUUCGGUAUGUAAACUUCGAAAGAAUAGGAAGAAUUAAUGACGGUACUAUUUAUAAGGUCCGGCUAACUACGUGCCAGCAGCCGCGGUAAUACGUAGGGACCAAGCGUUGUUCGGAUUUACUG